GUGGGGUGACUGCGUACCUUUUGUAUAAUGGGUCAGCGACUUAUAUUCUGUAGCAAGGUUAACCGAAUAGGGGAGCCGUAGGGAAACCGAGUCUUAACCGGGCGUUAAGUUGCAGGGUAUAGACCCGAAACCCGGUGAUCUAGCCAUGGGCAGGUUGAAGGUUGGGUAACACUAACUGGAGGACCGAACCGACUAAUGUUGAAAAAUUAGCGGAUGACCUGUGGCUGGGGGUGAAAGGCCAAUCAAACCGGGAGAUAGCUGGUUCUCCCCGAAAGCUAUUUAGGUAGCGCCUCGUGAAUUCAUCUCCGGGGGUAGAGCACUGUUUCGGCUAGGGGGCCAUCCCGGCUUACCAACCCGAUGCAAACUGCGAAUACCGGAGAAUGUUAUCACGGGAGACACACGGCGGGUGCUAACGUCCGUCGUGAAGAGGGAAACAACCCAGACCGCCAGCUAAGGUCCCAAAGUCAUGGUUAAGUGGGAAACGAUGUGGGAAGGCCCAGACAGCCAGGAUGUUGGCUUAGAAGCAGCCAUCAUUUAAAGAAAGCGUAAUAGCUCACUGGUCGAGUCGGCCUGCGCGGAAGAUGUAACGGGGCUAAACCAUGCACCGAAGCUGCGGCAGCGACGCUGAUGCGUUGUUGGGUAGGGGAGCGUUCUGUAAGCCUGUGAAGGUGGCCUGUGAGGGUUGCUGGAGGUAUCAGAAGUGCGAAUGCUGACAUAAGUAACGAUAAAGCGGGUGAAAAGCCCGCUCGCCGGAAGACCAAGGGUUCCUGUCCAACGUUAAUCGGGGCAGGGUGAGUCGACCCCUAAGGCGAGGCCGAAAGGCGUAGUCGAUGGGAAACGGGUUAAUAUUCCCGUACUUGGUGUUACUGCGAAGGGGGGACGGAGAAGGCUAUGUUGGCCGGGCGACGGUUGUCCCGGUUUAAGCGUGUAGGUGUGUGUUCCAGGUAAAUCCGGUUCACUUUAACACUGAGGCGUGAUGACGAGGCACUACGGUGCUGAAGCAACAAAUGCCCUGCUUCCAGGAAAAGCCUCUAAGCAUCAGGUAACAUCAAAUCGUACCCCAAACCGACACAGGUGGUCAGGUAGAGAAUACCAAGGCGCUUGAGAGAACUCGGGUGAAGGAACUAGGCAAAAUGGUGCCGUAACUUCGGGAGAAGGCACGCUGACACGUAGGUGAAGUGAUUUACUCAUGG
This 1193-nucleotide ribosomal RNA is filed under the name Salmonella enterica subsp. enterica serovar Choleraesuis. RNAcentral's name for it is "partial 23S ribosomal RNA". It matches the Rfam family "Bacterial large subunit ribosomal RNA", at positions 588 to 1772 of the family's 2925-position model. Lineage: Bacteria; Pseudomonadati; Pseudomonadota; Gammaproteobacteria; Enterobacterales; Enterobacteriaceae. The record is from RNAcentral.